AUUUACCUGGAUUGUUUUUAUAUGGACACUCGGUUUAUGAACUACAACUAUUUUCCUGGAUUAUUGUUGUUAUAUGGACAUAAAAUCUUUGGACUGUAACUGUUCUGCUCCUGUUCUUUUGGAGAUGUGAAUCAAAAAUGAUACUUCUGUGUAUGAUGUGAACCGUCCUUCAAACUAGUGCCUCUACAAAUGUUUUCCAUUUUUUGGGUUCUGUUCCUUUUGGAUUUGUAUUGCGAUCGACUAAACCAGCUGAACAUCCUAAGUGCACUUUAACAUAAAUUAACCAAACUUGUCUGCAGAUUGUAAAUAUGGGGAGUAUUGUUUUUGUUUAUUUAGUUUUUCAAGGCACUUUAACAUGGUACCAGCAUUAAAUAUGAAUUAUGUGUCUGUUAUUUACCUUUCCUUUUUCAAGCCAGAACUUUAGCUUCUGAUAGCCCACAAAUUUUAGCUAUGAAUUCUGCUAUCACUGCACAUGUUUAACUUAUAUGCUCCAAAUUUGUGGUAAAGCUUAAAAAUCUCCAUCGAUGCGUACAUAUCACCCUUUUCUCCUUCCUGGUCACACACACCUUCACUGCUGCAAUCAGCAUGAUUUCACCUACAUAGAAUCUGUUCUAUUUAAGCGCUCUCCUGCCUGCUUGUCAGUGCCUGAUUGUUGAAAACUCUCCCCCUCAGUAGAUGUCCAGUGUUUCUUCCAUGCCCUUGUCUGACCUCCUCAUUAGAACUUUGUACCCUGGAUUCUUCUGCCUUGCCUUCAUCUGACUUCUGCCAAGCAUCUGAUCUCUGGGCAUUGACUCUGUUUCUGUGUCCUGACCACCAAGCCUUACCAAUCCCUAGGAUAAACAGUCUUAUCCCUCCGUCUUUGUCCGUGACUCUUGUCCAUCUCACUGCUAUCCCUCUGGAUCCUGAAUUUGUUACUGCUGUGUCUUCUGACUUCUGUGUGCCGAACCAAGACUGCUCUAUACUUCUUUCUCUUUUUUUUUUUUUUUUUUUCCCAUUACCUGUUGUGACAUCAUCCUGUACGCCCUCUGCUUCCUACUUCCUCUCAAGAGAGGUGUAAGCAACAGCACAGCUUCCAGGCAGGAAAGGAAGUGUUUGGAUACAGAGACGGUCACCUUCUUUUGGAAGCUCACAAAGGAUAAAAAGCGUGUAGGGACAUCCAUCUCAGAUCAAAGCCUGUACACUGGUCCAGAAAAAGAGAUUAUCCGACUCCCACCACUUGCAUAUUGAGAAUAAACCUUGUUAAACAUG
Long non-coding RNA from Xiphophorus hellerii (green swordtail), 1248 nucleotides. RefSeq lists it as uncharacterized. The record is from RefSeq and is a predicted model, not a curated record. NCBI's taxonomy places the organism in Eukaryota, Metazoa, Chordata, Actinopteri, Cyprinodontiformes, Poeciliidae. The transcript has 2 exons.